Molecule: long non-coding RNA, 978 nt
Organism: Bubalus bubalis (water buffalo)
Lineage: Eukaryota; Metazoa; Chordata; Mammalia; Artiodactyla; Bovidae
Exons: 3
Source: RefSeq, a predicted model, not a curated record
CCCCGAGGCCGCCAGCCAACACAGCCCCAAGGGACUGGCAGCAGCAAGCUGCUGGGGCGGCGAAGGCCAGCCUGGCCAACAGCAGGACAUUUCAAAGGCCACGUGUCCAGGGUACAGAUGCGGAUCAGAGGUCCCACACAUAACGGAGAAGAUUCUCACGGUAGUUCUGAUGCCGCCUGUCAGACUCUGCAUGCACUGCCUCCGUAACUGGAGCGGGCCUCAGCCCUGCCAGGAACGUUGGCCUGGCUCACGGAAGACCCACAUACUCCCGGAGGUGAAAGGCUUGUCCAGGAUUCAAAACUUAGGUCUGUCUGCCACUUCCAGCAUCCUUCCUGUAGUGUAAUCUGUCUUCACCCAACAUCCUGAGACCUCACAAGGACUCAGGUGGUCCCUGGAACACAUCUGGCUCAGAGUGAGUGAGGGGUAAACAUCUGUUGAAUUAACAGUUGAUGUAGGAAUUAUACCUUUCCUUUCCUGUUUCAUCAGCAUCUGCCUGGAACUCAGGUCACCGGUCCAUGUCUGCUCCUGAACUUUCUGUAAGUUCUCACGGUUCUUCAAAAUUCCCAGAGAAAAAGGUGACAAAAGGCAGACGGGAAAUUGAAGGGAUCUAAUUUCUACUUUGAAGUUCUGGAUUUACCUUCUCAAGUGUAAAGCCAGGAAGGGGGACCUACCCUGCCAGGCAGGUCAGAGGGAUCAGAUUGCCCUCCUUAUGUGGGUGAGCAUCACUGAAGCAGUUGAAGGCCUGAAUAGAAGACUGACUCUCUGCAGAGUAAGACAGAAUUGUCCAUCAGACGACUUCAGACCUCACCUGUCUACGUCAGUUCACCCUGCCUGAUGGCCUUCAAAUUGAAAUACUGGUUCUCUGUGGGUCUCCAACCUGCCUGCUUGACUCCAUAAUUGUGAGCCAAUUUCUCAUGAUAAAUCAUGAUAUGAGCUUUGCAACAUAUAUAAAACAUGAUAAAUCCUGUUUUAUAUAUA